GAUGAACGCUGGCGGCGUGCCUAACACAUGCAAGUCGAGCGGCAGCGAGGGGUGCUUGCACCCUGUCGGCGAGCGGCGGACGGCUGAGUAACGCGUGGGAACGUGCCCCAAAGUGAGGAAUAACUGCCCGAAAGGGUAGCUAAUACCGCAUAUUAUCUUCGAAUCAAAGGAUUUAUCCGCUUUGGGAGCGGCUCGCGUCGGAUUAGGUAGUUGGUGAGGUAAUGGCUCACCAAGCCGACGAUCCGUAGCUGGUCUGAGAGGAUGACCAGCCAGACUGGAACUGAGACACGGUCCAGACUCCUACGGGAGGCAGCAGUGAGGAAUCUUCCACAAUGGGCGAAAGCCUGAUGGAGCAACGCCGCGUGCAGGACGAAGGCCUUCGGGUUGUAAACUGCUUUUAUAAGUGAGGAAUAUGACGGUAACUUAUGAAUAAGGAUCGGCUAACUACGUG
This 451-nucleotide ribosomal RNA is filed under the name uncultured bacterium. Its description in RNAcentral is "partial 16S ribosomal RNA". It matches the Rfam family "Bacterial small subunit ribosomal RNA", at positions 28 to 507 of the family's 1533-position model. The record is from RNAcentral.